CCCCAGACUCCUACGGGAGGCAGCAGUGGGGAAUAUUGGGCAAUGGGCGCAAGCCUGACCCAGCAACGCCGCGUGAAGGAAGAAGGCUUUCGGGUUGUAAACUUCUUUUAAGAGGGAAGAGCAGAAGACGGUACCUCUUGAAUAAGCCACGGCUAACUACGUGCCAGCAGCCGCGGUAAUACGUAGGUGGCAAGCGUUGUCCGGAUUUACUGGGUGUAAAGGGCGUGUAGCCGGGCUGACAAGUCAGAUGUGGAAUUCCGGGGCUCAACCCCGGACCUGCAUUUGAAACUGUUGGUCUUGAGUAUCGGAGAGGCAGGCGGAAUUCCUAGUGUAGCGGUGAAAUGCGUAGAUAUUAGGAGGAACACCAGUGGCGAAGGCGGCCUGCUGGACGACAACUGACGGUGAGGCGCGAAAGCGUGGGGAGCAAACAGGAUUAGAUACCCCGGUAG
RNAcentral lists this ribosomal RNA (449 nucleotides) under uncultured bacterium. Its description in RNAcentral is "bacterial SSU rRNA". It matches the Rfam family "Bacterial small subunit ribosomal RNA", at positions 329 to 793 of the family's 1533-position model. The record is from RNAcentral.